CUUCUGCUCGGAAACUCAGAGACAAAUUGUCCAGUAAUCGUAGCUUCUAGCACAGCUCUGCUGAACAGCUGAUCAUUCAAUAAAACAGCAAAAUUCGCAUGCAGUAAAGAAGUGGCCAAAGAUCAGUACUAAAGAGCUGUGCAGCGGAGGAACAUUGCAUGACACCUGUUUCCAUGACAACUUACACAGCCACAGGAUUUACUGAAAAGAGUCUGAUUAACAACCUUCUCCACGGUUACGAC
Long non-coding RNA from Anguilla anguilla (European eel), 242 nucleotides. RefSeq lists it as uncharacterized. The transcript is spliced from 3 exons. The record is from RefSeq and is a predicted model, not a curated record. Lineage: Eukaryota; Metazoa; Chordata; Actinopteri; Anguilliformes; Anguillidae.